CGACCGGCGCACGGGUGAGUAUCGCGUAUCCAACCUGCCUAUUACUUGAGAAUACCCCGUUGAAAGGCGGUCUAAUACUCAAUACUUUCAUAAAUUGGCAUCAUGCUAUGAAAAAAGAUUUAUCGGUAAUAGAUGGGGAUGCGUCUGAUUAGUUAGUUGGUGAGGUAACGGCUCACCAAGGCAACGAUCAGUAGGGGUUCUGAGAGGAAGGUCCCCCACAUUGGAACUGAGACACGGUCCAAACUCCUACGGGAGGCAGCAGCC
RNAcentral lists this ribosomal RNA (264 nucleotides) under uncultured Prevotella sp. RNAcentral's name for it is "partial 16S ribosomal RNA". It matches the Rfam family "Bacterial small subunit ribosomal RNA", at positions 92 to 355 of the family's 1533-position model. The record is from RNAcentral. Lineage: Bacteria; Pseudomonadati; Bacteroidota; Bacteroidia; Bacteroidales; Prevotellaceae.